Oncorhynchus masou masou (cherry salmon) is the source of this 175-nucleotide long non-coding RNA. RefSeq lists it as uncharacterized. The transcript has 3 exons. NCBI's taxonomy places the organism in Eukaryota, Metazoa, Chordata, Actinopteri, Salmoniformes, Salmonidae. The record is from RefSeq and is a predicted model, not a curated record.
CUGGGCUCUUUCUUCACUGAAUACCUCCAGAAUCAGCUGCUGACAAAGGGAAUGGUGAUACUGAGGGACAAAAUGCGUUUCUAUGAAGGUCAGAAGCUAUUGGACUCCUUGGCAGAGACGUGGGACUUCUUCUUCUGUGAUGUUCUGUCCAUGCUUCAGGCUAUCUUCUACCCAG